UACGUAGGGCGCAAGCGUUAUCCGGAAUUAUUGGGCGUAAAGAGCUCGUAGGCGGUUUGUCGCGUCUGCCGUGAAAGUCCGGGGCUCAACUCCGGAUCUGCGGUGGGUACGGGCAGACUAGAGUGCAGUAGGGGAGACUGGAAUUCCUGGUGUAGCGGUGAAAUGCGCAGAUAUCAGGAGGAACACCGAUGGCGAAGGCAGGUCUCUGGGCCACUACUGACGCUGAGAAGCGAAAGCAUGGGGGAGCGAACAGG
Molecule: ribosomal RNA, 254 nt
Filed under: uncultured bacterium
Lineage: Bacteria
Description: partial 16S ribosomal RNA
Rfam family: Bacterial small subunit ribosomal RNA
Source: RNAcentral